This 68-nucleotide transfer RNA is filed under the name Marmota monax (woodchuck). RNAcentral's name for it is "tRNA.Ala". The record is from RNAcentral. Lineage: Eukaryota; Metazoa; Chordata; Mammalia; Rodentia; Sciuridae.
GGAUUGUGGCUCAGUGGUAGAGUGCUCUCCUAGCAUGCAUGAGGCAUUGGGUUUGAUCCUCAGCACCA